UGUAAUUCUAGUCAAGUAGUCAAGCCGCGCAUCCAAGCUUUAUCCAAAUUGCAAACUUUGUAAAUGUUUGCGGAGUAAAUAUUUUCGUUUUGAGUAUAGAAACUGAGUUUAAGGUAACCAGUUUGUUGAGUCAUGCAAUGCACGUGAGCUGGUAUCUUUCAUUAACAUUGUUCAAUUGCAAUUGGAUACCGCUGGCACUCGCUGACUUUAAAAUGUUCAACCAACCCGCAACCAGAAAAUAGAGGUGAAUUGAUCUGAAAAAGAAUGCCGUCCAGGAUGCAUCAUUCUCAAAAUAUGGUUGCUAAAAUAUGGACUUAUGAUCUACGGCAGUGAAUGUGAUGAAGAGUAGUGGAAAUGUUUUAAUCUCGAGAUGAACUACAUCCUGACGUCAUGGGAUAAUAAUUCAACAGUUCUGUUCGCCCUCUCCGAUCCCUUUGGCUAGGUGAGUUAGUUUAAUCUGAGUACAGAGUAUUAAAUUGUGGGCUCUAUUAAUAAUAAUAAUUCUAUACAGUUUCAUAAUUGAAACAAUUAUGGCCCCUUAUUGUGGGCAGAGUAUGUGUCUUUGUUGAUAUGUCCUGGUAUAAACUUAUCUGAGUGACUGCAUUAAAAUAAUUUUUUGUAAUUGCAAUUGUACUAGACAUUUGAUGAUAUUUGUUGUAGCUAUCUCCUUUGAUAAGUGAUAAUAACAAUCUUUCAUUCAUCGAAUAAUUUUUGCAGUGAAGACAGGGUAACUACUCGAUCAUUAUUUUUGUCCAGGUGAAUUGAUCUGAAAAAGAAUGCCGUCCAGGAUGCAUCAUUCUCAAAUAUGGUUGCUAAAAUAUGGACUUAUGAUCUACGGCAGUGGUAAGGGCUCCUAAUUUGCUCAUGAAACAUGACCCGUUCAAAUCAAAACAGAAGUCUGCUGUGUAAUUAUACUAUAUAUCAACGAAUAAUAUUUUUCAGAAUGUGAUGAAGAGUAGUGGAAAUGUUUUAAUAUCAAGAUGAACUACAUUCUGACGUCAUGGGAUAAUAAUUCAACAGUUCUGUUCGCCCUCUCCGAUCCAUUUGGCUAG
This is a long non-coding RNA of Bolinopsis microptera, 1052 nucleotides long. RefSeq lists it as uncharacterized. The transcript has 3 exons. The record is from RefSeq and is a predicted model, not a curated record. NCBI's taxonomy places the organism in Eukaryota, Metazoa, Ctenophora, Tentaculata, Lobata, Bolinopsidae.